Rhipicephalus sanguineus (brown dog tick) is the source of this 357-nucleotide long non-coding RNA. RefSeq lists it as uncharacterized. The record is from RefSeq and is a predicted model, not a curated record. Lineage: Eukaryota; Metazoa; Arthropoda; Arachnida; Ixodida; Ixodidae. The transcript has 3 exons.
UGGCUGGGUGGCCGUGGUUACCUCAAACCAGCUGUUACACAUCUUGAGUUCAACUGGCAUUCAGCGUCAGGUGGUCUGUGCACCCGGUGGGGCAGUACGAUUGGUGGGCUUGGACGGGCUGCUGGCCGUUUUUUACGGCGUCGUUGACAUAGGCUUCGAAAAUGAAGAUUGGAAUGUCCUACUUUACGCCGUCUCCCCUACAGGCGAGUAUGUGCAGGCGCUGCUUCCCUCGCACUUGCCUCUGGGUCGAAAGCGCAAGCUGGAGUGGUCAGGUUUCACUGACCACUCCAAUUUGUGGUUUUCCGACACCGCUGGCGAUGUCUUUGUGAGGCGAAAGGACGGCUGUUGGAUGAAGGU